GAAAUGCGAUAAGUAAUGUGAAUUGCAGAAUUCAGUGAAUCAUCGAGUCUUCGAACGCACAUUGCGCCCCCUGGUAUUCCGGGGGGCAUGCCUGUCCGAGCGUCAUUGCUGCCCUCAAGCCCGGCUUGUGUGUUGGGCCUCGUCCCCCCUCCGGGGGACGGGCCCGAAAGGCAGCGGCGGCACCGUGUCCGGUCCUCGAGCGUAUGGGGCUUUGUCACCCGCUCUGUAGGCCCGGCCGGCGCCUUAGCCGACGACACAAUCUUUUUUUUCAGGUUGACCUCGGAUCAGGUAGGGAUACCCGCUGAACUUAA
RNAcentral lists this unclassified non-coding RNA (311 nucleotides) under uncultured Penicillium. RNAcentral describes it as "sequence contains ITS1". The stretch from base 1 to 105 matches the Rfam family "5.8S ribosomal RNA", at positions 50 to 154 of the family's 154-position model. The record is from RNAcentral. Lineage: Eukaryota; Fungi; Ascomycota; Eurotiomycetes; Eurotiales; Aspergillaceae.